RNAcentral lists this ribosomal RNA (253 nucleotides) under uncultured bacterium. RNAcentral's name for it is "partial 16S ribosomal RNA". It matches the Rfam family "Bacterial small subunit ribosomal RNA", at positions 524 to 776 of the family's 1533-position model. The record is from RNAcentral.
UACGUAGGGUGCAAGCGUUAAUCGGAAUUACUGGGCGUAAAGCGUGCGCAGGCGGUUAUGUAAGACAGAUGUGAAAUGCCCGGGCUUAACCUGGGAACUGCAUUUGUGACUGCAUGGCUAGAGUUUGGCAGAGGGGGGUAGAAUUCCACGUGUAGCAGUGAAAUGCGUAGAUAUGUGGAGGAACACCGGUGGCGAAGGCGGCAUCCUGGACCAACACUGACACUGAGGAGCGAAAGCCAGGGGAGCAAACGGG